AGGAGGGGCAAAGCUCAAGAUGGCGGACAAAACGCCAGGCGGAUCUCAGAAGGCCAGUUCAAAGACGAGAUCAUCAGAUGUUCAUUCAUCUGGAUCUUCGGAUGCACAUAUGGAUGCAUCUGGACCCUCAGAUAGUGAUAUGCCAAGUCGGACACGACCUAAGAGCCCAAGAAAACAUAAUUAUAGGAAUGAAAGUGCCCGUGAAAGCCUUUGUGAUUCUCCUCAUCAGAAUCUCUCAAGACCUCUUCUGGAAAACAAACUUAAAGCAUUCAGUAUUGGAAAAAUGAGUACAGCUAAGCGAACUUUAAGUAAAAAGGAACAGGAAGAAUUAAAGAAAAAGGAGGAUGAAAAGGCAGCUGCUGAGAUUUAUGAGGAGUUUCUUGCUGCUUUUGAAGGAAGUGAUGGUAAUAAAGUGAAAACAUUUGUGCGAGGAGGUGUUGUUAAUGCAGCUAAAGAAGAACAUGAAACAGAUGAAAAAAGAGGUAAAAUCUAUAAGCCAUCUUCAAGAUUUGCAGAUCAAAAAAAUCCUCCAAAUCAGUCUUCCAAUGAAAGACCACCAUCUCUUCUUGUGAUAGAAACCAAAAAACCUCCACUUAAAAAAGGAGAGAAAGAAAAGAAAAAAAGCAAUUUGGAACUCUUCAAAGAAGAAUUAAAGCAAAUUCAAGAGGAACGUGAUGAGAGACAUAAAACAAAAGGCAGAUUAAGUCGAUUUGAACCUCCUCAGUCAGAUUCUGAUGGUCAGCGUCGUUCUAUGGACGCGCCUUCAAGAAGAAAUAGAUCAUCUGGUGUUCUUGAUGAUUACGCACCUGGCUCACAUGAUGUAGGAGAUCCAAGCACUACUAAUUUAUACCUUGGAAACAUUAAUCCACAGAUGAAUGAAGAAAUGCUGUGCCAAGAAUUUGGAAGAUUUGGACCGUUAGCCAGUGUGAAAAUCAUGUGGCCUAGAACUGAUGAAGAAAGAGCCAGAGAGAGAAAUUGCGGCUUUGUGGCCUUUAUGAAUAGAAGAGAUGCUGAAAGAGCUUUAAAAAAUUUGAAUGGAAAAAUGAUUAUGUCUUUUGAAAUGAAGUUAGGUUGGGGUAAAGCUGUACCUAUUCCUCCACAUCCAAUAUACAUUCCGCCUUCUAUGAUGGAACAUACGCUUCCCCCACCUCCAUCCGGACUGCCUUUUAAUGCACAGCCUAGAGAGCGGUUAAAAAACCCUAAUGCUCCUAUGUUACCGCCACCUAAAAACAAAGAGGAUUUUGAGAAGGUAAUUUAAAAAAUGGACAUAAGGCCGCAUCUAAUUUGUAAAUACUAAAGCUGUGGUAGUAUUUCUUUUCAACAAUUUUAUAGAAAAUGUGUGUGUAAUUCUGUUUGGCAACUUUUAAAGAAAUAAGUAGAUGUGUUCCCUGCCUUAGCCCAUGGAAACCCUAUAUUUGAAAUACUAGGUCAUAUUUUUAUUUGUGGCUACCAUUCCUUUUUUGACCACUUGUUAAGUUUUUUUUCCUUUGUCCAGUGUUGUAUCCAGAUUUGCUUAAGUGUAGUAACUAAAUUUACUUUGUUCUGAGAAAGUGAUACUUUGUAUUUGGUUAAGUGACAUU
Molecule: small RNA, 1580 nt
Filed under: Pongo abelii (Sumatran orangutan)
Lineage: Eukaryota; Metazoa; Chordata; Mammalia; Primates; Hominidae
Description: retained intron
Source: RNAcentral